UCCCUGGUGGCAUAGUGGUUAGGAUUCAGUGCUUUCACCACUGUGGCCCAGGUUCAAUCCCUGGUCUGGGAA
RNAcentral lists this transfer RNA (72 nucleotides) under Sus scrofa (pig). It matches the Rfam family "tRNA". Rfam says of the family: Transfer RNA (tRNA) molecules are approximately 80 nucleotides in length. Their secondary structure includes four short double-helical elements and three loops (D, anti-codon, and T loops). Further hydrogen bonds mediate the characteristic L-shaped molecular structure. tRNAs have two regions of fundamental functional importance: the anti-codon, which is responsible for specific mRNA codon recognition, and the 3' end, to which the tRNAs corresponding amino acid is attached (by aminoacyl-tRNA synthetases). tRNAs cope with the degeneracy of the genetic code in two manners: having more than one tRNA (with a specific anti-codon) for a particular amino acid; and 'wobble' base-pairing, i.e. permitting non-standard base-pairing at the 3rd anti-codon position. Lineage: Eukaryota; Metazoa; Chordata; Mammalia; Artiodactyla; Suidae. The record is from Rfam by way of RNAcentral.